This 157-nucleotide ribosomal RNA is filed under the name Dictyonema glabratum. RNAcentral describes it as "5.8S ribosomal RNA". It matches the Rfam family "5.8S ribosomal RNA". From Rfam's summary of the family: 5.8S ribosomal RNA (5.8S rRNA) is a component of the large subunit of the eukaryotic ribosome. It is transcribed by RNA polymerase I as part of the 45S precursor that also contains 18S and 28S rRNA. Functionally, it is thought that 5.8S rRNA may be involved in ribosome translocation. The record is from RNAcentral. Lineage: Eukaryota; Fungi; Basidiomycota; Agaricomycetes; Agaricales; Hygrophoraceae.
CAACUUUCAACAACGGAUCUCUUGGCUCUCGCAUCGAUGAAGAACGCAGCGAAAUGCGAUAAGUAAUGUGAAUUGCAGAAUUCAGUGAAUCAUCGAAUCUUUGAACGCACCUUGCGCCCCCUUGGUACUCCGGGGGGCAUGCCUGUUUGAGUGUCAU